ACGGAGGGUACGAACGUUAAUCGGAAUUACUGGGCGUAAAGCGCGCGUAGGCGGUUCGCUAAGUGAGGUGUGAAAGCCCCGGGCUCAACCUGGGAACUGCAUUUCAAACUGGCGGGCUAGAGUGUGGUAGAGGGAGGUGGAAUUUCCUGUGUAGCGGUGAAAUGCGUAGAUAUAGGAAGGAACACCAGUGGCGAAGGCGGCCUCCUGGACUAACACUGACGCUGAGGCGCGAAAGCGUGGGGAGCAAACAGG
Molecule: ribosomal RNA, 252 nt
Filed under: uncultured bacterium
Lineage: Bacteria
Description: partial 16S ribosomal RNA
Rfam family: Bacterial small subunit ribosomal RNA
Source: RNAcentral